This 832-nucleotide long non-coding RNA is filed under the name Marmota monax (woodchuck). The record is from RNAcentral. Lineage: Eukaryota; Metazoa; Chordata; Mammalia; Rodentia; Sciuridae.
AGAGGGGCCAGGGGCAGGCUUCCUGCAGGCCUCUUUCUCCCUCCUGCUUCAGUUUCUUCACCAGAUAACGGGAGUGGCCCCGUGGACGUUCCCCAACCGUGAGCAAUUGCUCUGCCCAUCCCGGCCAGGGCUCCCUUUGUCCCCCAGGCUUCUACGAGCUCUCUUCCUCCGCCCUCUGCCUGGGCUAGAGCUCCGAGGGGUGUGGGGGUGCCUGUCGCCCACCUCCAGCUCCGCUCUCCCAGCCCCCGCGCCCUUGGAGGCUCUGAGUGCUCACCAGACCUUGGAAUCUCGCAGAGGUGCAUUCCCAAGAUUCCCAUUUCCUGCCGGCAAACUGAGGUUCACAGAGAAGGGGAUUGCCCCAGGUCUCCCGCUGGGCGUUGUAGCGACACACCGCCAUGCCGGGCUUGUGCUUCGCUGCUGCAUUUCGGUUCAUCCUUACAACCACCCUCCAGGAAGACCCGUCGUCAUCCCACUUCACAGAUGAGGAAACUGAGGACUGAAGAAGGUUACUUACCGCCCAAGUGAGGAAAUGUGGCAGGGCAAACACCAGAAGGUUUUUAGCCUUGAACUAAUGCCUUGGCCACAGGCCCACACGCUCGCCCUUACCCACUUCCAAGCUGCAGAACCACCAGCGAACCCAGCUUGGCCCUGGCCACGACUAAGCUGGACUUGCAAACAGGAGCUCGCCUCCUCCCACCGCCGGAGGCACCUCAGCGCUCGACACCUGUCUGGAUUCUGGGGUGCUGGGGCUCCGCCGUUCUCUUGUAGCUCGGGAGCUUCUGGGGGGCCUGGCUGGGGAUGGGGGGCCCGAGAGGAUGAGGGUGAAGCCGCG